UACGUAGGUGGCGAGCGUUAUCCGGAAUGAUUGGGCGUAAAGGGUGCGUAGGCGGCCUGCUAAGUCUGGAGUGAAAGGUACCGGCUCAACCGGUACAGGCUCUGGAAACUGGCGGGCUAGAGAGCAGGAGAGGGCGGUGGAACUCCAUGUGUAGCGGUAAAAUGCGUAGAUAUAUGGAGGAACACCGGUGGCGAAAGCGGCUCUCUGGCCCGUAACUGACACUGAGGCUCGAAAGCGUGGGGAGCAAACAGG
Molecule: ribosomal RNA, 252 nt
Filed under: uncultured bacterium
Lineage: Bacteria
Description: partial 16S ribosomal RNA
Rfam family: Bacterial small subunit ribosomal RNA
Source: RNAcentral